Molecule: ribosomal RNA, 551 nt
Filed under: Pleosporaceae sp. BC1
Lineage: Eukaryota; Fungi; Ascomycota; Dothideomycetes; Pleosporales; Pleosporaceae
Also listed under: 1 other name
Description: eukaryotic LSU rRNA
Rfam family: 5.8S ribosomal RNA (bases 186-339)
Source: RNAcentral
AACCUGCGGAGGGAUCAUUACACAAAUAUGAAGGCGGGCUGGAACCUCUCGGGGUUACAGCCUUGCUGAAUUAUUCACCCUUGUCUUUUGCGUACUUCUUGUUUCCUUGGUGGGUUCGCCCACCACUAGGACAAACAUAAACCUUUUGUAAUUGCAAUCAGCGUCAGUAACAAAUUAAUAAUUACAACUUUCAACAACGGAUCUCUUGGUUCUGGCAUCGAUGAAGAACGCAGCGAAAUGCGAUAAGUAGUGUGAAUUGCAGAAUUCAGUGAAUCAUCGAAUCUUUGAACGCACAUUGCGCCCUUUGGUAUUCCAAAGGGCAUGCCUGUUCGAGCGUCAUUUGUACCCUCAAGCUUUGCUUGGUGUUGGGCGUCUUGUCUCUAGCUUUGCUGGAGACUCGCCUUAAAGUAAUUGGCAGCCGGCCUACUGGUUUCGGAGCGCAGCACAAGUCGCACUCUCUAUCAGCAAAGGUCUAGCAUCCAUUAAGCCUUUUUUUCAACUUUUGACCUCGGAUCAGGUAGGGAUACCCGCUGAACUUAAGCAUAUCAAUA